CGAGGGCUUCACCGCCUAUCAAGUCUUGACAAACUCCGAAUACUAUCACUUGAUCUUUGGGAGUGAGGGCAUGGGUGCUAAGGUCCAUGUCCGAAAGAGGAACAACUCAGACCACCGGCUAAGGUCCCGAAAUAAGGGCUAAGUUGAACAAACGAAGUAAAACUGCAAAGACAGCUAGGAUGUUGGCUUGGAAGCAGCCAUUCAUUUAAAGAGUGCGUAACAGCUCACUAGUCGAGGAGUUUUGCAUGGAUAAUAAUCGGGCAUAAGCCCUUUACCGAAGCUGUGGAUGUCGUAAGACAUGGUAGGGGAGCAUUCCGGCGGCGACGAAGGCCGUCCUCGAGGACGACUGGAGCUUUCGGAAAAGCAAAUGUAGGUAUAAGUAACGAUAAAGGGGGCGCGAAACCCCCUCGCCAUAAGACUAAGGAUUCCUGAUCAACGCUAAUCGGAUCAGGGUAAGUCGGGCCCUAAGGCGCAGCCGAACGGCGCAGCCGAUGGAAGAAACGGUAAAAAUUCCGUUACUGGAUAUAGGAGCGAUGUGGAGACGGAGAAGUGACACACCCGCCUGCCGACGGAAGCGCAGGUUAAAGGAAGUAGGUAAACGCCGGGCAGGCAAAUCCGCCUGGCGUGCCGAAGCUGACAGUAUCGAGAGCCCCCGGGCAAUCGAAUAGCGGUGGUAAUCAGGCUCCCAAGAAAAUCCGCUAAGCAUAUUCUAUAUUCACCCGUACCCCAAACGGACACACGUAGUCGGGUAGAAUAUACCAAGGCGCUCGAAAGACUCACGGUUAAGGAACUAGGCAAAUUGACCCUGUAACCUCGGGAAAAAGGGUCCCCAGUAAGAUGGGGCGCAGAGAAUAGGUCCAGGCAACUGUUUAACAAAAACACAGGGCUGUGCAAAAUUUCAAGAUGAAGUAUACAGCCUGACACCUGCCCGGUGCCGGAAGGUUAAGAGGAGAGCUUAUCGCAAGAGAAGGCUUGAAUUGAAGCCCCGGUAAACGGCGGCCGUAACUAUAACGGUCCUAAGGUAGCGAAAUUCCUUGUCGGGUAAGUUCCGACCUGCACGAAUGGUGUAAUGAUCUGGACACUGUCUCAACCGUGACUUCGGUGAAAUUGUAGUAUCGGUGAAGAUGCCGAUUACCCGCAACGGGACGAAAAGACCCCGUGAACCUUUACUGCAACUUAGCAUUGCGUUUGGGCAUUUGAUGUGUAGGAUAGUCCGGAGGCUACGAGCCGGCGACGCCAGUCGUCGGGGAGCCGUUGUUGAAAUACGGACCUUCGAAUGUUUGAGCGCUAACUCGCAGGAGCGAGGACACUGUUUGGUGGGUAGUUUGACUGGGGUGGUCG
RNAcentral lists this ribosomal RNA (1341 nucleotides) under human gut metagenome. RNAcentral's name for it is "bacterial LSU rRNA". It matches the Rfam family "Bacterial large subunit ribosomal RNA", at positions 921 to 2285 of the family's 2925-position model. The record is from RNAcentral.